Long non-coding RNA from Drosophila montana, 961 nucleotides. RefSeq lists it as uncharacterized. The record is from RefSeq and is a predicted model, not a curated record. The transcript is spliced from 2 exons. NCBI's taxonomy places the organism in Eukaryota, Metazoa, Arthropoda, Insecta, Diptera, Drosophilidae.
UUAUGAUAACAAGUGUAAACCGUAAAUAUGUUAUGUACUGCGCAUGCAAUUGACAAUCAAAACUACAAGUCAUUUGAGGGAAUGCGAGUGUGACACUGAUAAUGAACUGAUAGCGGUUACUUUAUCUAAAUGAAUGACGCUUACAUCGACUGCUGCGCGGAAUACAGCGGGUACCCGAGGAUACUGCUCCGCACCAGGGGAAGCAGGCCACAAUUGCGUCCAGCUGCUCUGUGUGCAGGCAGAGGGAUAGGAAGAGAACGAAACCGUAAGCCACGCCAAAACUGUACAGAACCGAACCCAGCGGCAUUAAACAGAUAACCAGAUAAAUAGUGCAAAACAACGUAGAAAAUAAAGGAAAGCAGUGCAACUGCUACCAAACAAAAAUCGCAAUGGGCGAUGCGGGCAUACUUGAAUUGGACACCUCCUUAACAUAUUGCAAGGCCAGACGCUUCAAAUAGUUGGCAUCAUCUUCGGCCACAAAGAAUCCCAUAAAGUUUUGGCUCAUGUAUGGCUCCAAUUUGAUGGGGCGAUCUAGCAGUGCGCCCGUCAUGUCCACGACUUGCUUCAGCGCCUUGGACAGCUGCAAUGAGCAUUCGUCGGGUGCCUGCCAAUGAAAAUGGGCAUUAUUGGUUUGAUUAACAUUCAAGUUCAGAGCGUGCUCACCUUGAAAAAGGAAACUAGCGUUAUGUGCGGCACAUAGUUGUGCGCUCCGUUCCAACCGCACACCUGACGCGAUUUUGACCAGAACUCUUCCAGCUGCUGUAAAAACGGCCCAGUUGGGCACGCGUAUAUAAUGUACUCGCGUGGCGCGCACUCGUCUAACGUCGCAUCGUUUACGUGGGCCAGAAGCCAAUCUGAAGCAAUUUGCACGCCUCUGUUCCCGGUUGAAGCCAGAGCCUUUUCGCUGUUAGGGAGUUGGGAUAAAAAAAAUCAAUAAAUGACGCUGCGCUGGUUCCAUUUA